CAAAGUCAGUAAAAGGAGGGACAUAAUAAAGAUUAGAGCAUAAAUAAGUAAAAUUGAGAAGAAUAAAACAAUCGAAAGAAUCAAUGAAAGCAAGAGCUGGUUCUCUGAGAAAAUAAACAAAAUAGAUAAACCCCUAGCCAGACUUAUCAAGAAAAAAAGAGAGUCUACACACAUAAACAGAAUCAAAAAUGAGAAAGGAAAAAUCACUACGGACACAACAGAAAUACAAAGAAUUACCAGAGAAUACUAUGAAAAAUUAUAUACCAACAAACAAACUGGAUAACCUAGAAGAAAUGGACAACUUUCUAGAAAAAUACAACCUUCCAAGGCUGAGCCAGGAAGAAACAGAAAAUCUGAACAGACCAACUAUGGGCAAUGAAAUUGAAUUGGUAAUCAAAAAACUACCUAAGAACAAAACCCCUCGAUCAGAUGGCUUCACUGCUGAAUUUUAUCAAGCAUUUAGUGAAGACCUAAUACCCAUUCUCCUUAAAGUUUUCCAAAGAGUAAAAGAAGAGGGAAAACUUCCGAACUCAUCUAUGAGACCAGCAUCACUCUAAUACCAAAAUGAGGCAAAGACACCACAAAAAAAGAAAAUCACAGACCAAUAUCCCUCAUGAACAUUGAUGCAAAAAUAUCAACAAAAUAUUAGGAGAUCAAAUUUAAAAAUGUAUUAAAAAGAUCAUCCAUCAUGAUCAAGUAGGAUUUAUUCCAGGAAUACAAGGACGGUAUAAUAUUAGAAAAUCUAUGAACACCCACCACAUCAACAAAAAGGACAAAAACCACAUGAUCAUCUCCAUAGAUGCUGAAAAGGCAUUCGACAUAAUUCAACAUCCAUUCAUGAUAAAAACUCUCAACAAAAUGGCUAGAGAGGGCAAGUACCUCAACAUAAUAGAGGCCAUAUAUGACAAACCCACAGCCAACAUAAUACUUAACAAUGAGAAGCUGAAAGCUUUUCCUUUAAGAUCGGGAACAAGACAAGGAUGCCCACUCUCCUCACUUCUAUUCAACAUAGUUCUGGAGGUCCUAGCCAUGGCAAUCAGACAACACAAAGAAAUAAAAGGUAUCCAGAUUGGUAAGGAAGAAGUCAAACUGUCCCUGUUUGCAGAUGACAUGAUACUGUACAUAAAAAAACCCUAAAGAAUCCACUCUAAAACUACUAGAUCUAAUAUCUGCAUUCAGCAAAGUUGCGGGGUACAAAAUUAAUACACAGAAAUCUGUUGCAUUCCAAUACACUAACGAUGAACUAACAGAGAAAUCAGGAAACAAUUCCAUUCACAAUUGCAUCAAAAAGAAUAAAAUACCUAGGAAUAAACCUAACCAAGGAAGUGAAAGAUCUAUAUCCUGAAAACUACAAGACACUCUUAAGAGAAAUUAAAGAAGACAGCAACAAAUGGAAACAUAUCCCGUGUUCAUGUAUAGGAAGAAUUAAUAUUGUCAAAGUGGCCAUCCUGCAUAAAGCAAUCUACAGAUUCAAUGCAAUCACUAUCAAAAUACCAACAGCAUUCUUCAAUGAACUAGAGCAAAUCGUUCUAAAAUUCAUAUGGAACCACAAAAGACCCUGAAUAGCCAAAGCAAUCCUGAGAAGGAAGAAUAAAGCAGGGGGGAUUAUGCUCCCCGACUUGAAGCUCUACUACAAAGUCACAGUAAUCAAGACAAUUUGGUACUGGCAUAAGAACAGACCCAUAGACCAAUGGAACAGACUAGAGAGCCCCGAUAGAAACCCAACUAUAUAUGGUCAAUUAAUAUACAAUAAAGGAGUCACAGACAUACAAUGGGGAAAUGACAGCCUCUUCAACAACUGGUGUUGGCAAAACCAGACAACUACAUGUAAGAAAAUGAAACUGGAUUAUUGUUUAACUGCAUACACAAAAGUAAACUCAAAAUGGAUCAAAGACCUGAAUGUAAGUUAUGAAACCAUAAAACUCUCAGAAGACAACAUAGGCAAAAAUCUCCUGAAUAUAAGCAUGAGCAACUUCUUCCUGAACCCAUCUCCUCGAACAAGGAAACAAAAGCAAAAAUGAACACAUAGGACUACAUUAAACUAAAAAGUUUCUGUACAGCAAAGGACACCAUGAAUAGAACAAAAAGGCAUCCUACAGUAUGGGAGAAUAUAUUUGUAAAUGACAUAUCCAACAAAGGGUUAACAUCCAAAAUAUAUAAAGAACUCACACACCUCAACACCCAAAAAGCAAAUAACCCGAUUAAAAAAUGGGCAGACGAUAUAAAGAGACAGUUCUCCAAGGAAGAAUUUCAGAUGGUCAACAGGCACAUGAAAAGAUACUCCACAUCACUAAUCAUCAGGGAAAUGCAAAUUAAAACCACAAUGAGAUAUCACCUCACACCAGUAAGGAUGGCCAGCAUCGAAAAGACUAAGAAAAACAAAUGCUGGCGAGGAUGCGGAGAAAGGGGAACCCUCCUACACUGCUGGUGGGAAUGUAAACUAGUUCAACCAUUGUGGAAAGCAAUAAGGAGGUUCCUCAAAAAACUAAAAACAGAAAUACGAUUUAUCCUGGGAAUCCCACUCCUUGGAAUUUCCCCAAACAAUACAACUUUUCAGACUCAAAAAGACAGAUGCACCCCUAUGUUUAUAUAGCACUUUUUACAAUAGCCAAGAUAUGGAAGCAACCUAAGUGUCCAUCAGUAGAUGAAUGGAUAAAGAUGUGGUACAUACACACAAUGGAAUACUAUUCAGCCCUAAGAAAGAAAUACAUCCUACCAUUUGCAACAACAUGGAUGGAGCUGGAGGAUAUUAUGCUCAGUAAAAUGAGCCAGGUGGACAAAGACAAGUGCCAAAUGUUUUCCCUCAUUUAUGGAGUAUACAAAUGAGGCAUAACUGAAGGACCAAAAUAGCAGCAGACUCAGAGACUCCAAGAAGGGACUAGUGGUUACCAAAGAGGAGGGGUGUGGGAGGGUGGGUGGGGAGGGAGGGAGACGGGGACUGAGGUGUAUGAUGUUUAGUACACAUGGUGUGGGGGAUCACGGGGAGAACAGUGUAGCACAGAGAAGGGACAUAGUGGAUCUGUAGCAUCUUGCUGCACUGAUGGACAGUGACUGCACUGGGGUAUGGGUGGAGACUUGAUAAUAUGGGUAAAUGUAUAACCACAUUGUUUUAUCAUGUGAAACCUUCGUAAGAGUGUAUAUCAAUAAUAGUAAAAAAAAAUACAAAGCAAGUUAAUAACAUUCCUGUCCUCAGGAAGACUGCGAAUAUCUACUUUUAUAACUUAAAC
Manis pentadactyla (Chinese pangolin) is the source of this 3227-nucleotide long non-coding RNA. RefSeq lists it as uncharacterized. Lineage: Eukaryota; Metazoa; Chordata; Mammalia; Pholidota; Manidae. The transcript is spliced from 2 exons. The record is from RefSeq and is a predicted model, not a curated record.